Small nucleolar RNA from Nannospalax galili (Upper Galilee mountains blind mole rat), 129 nucleotides. The record is from Ensembl. NCBI's taxonomy places the organism in Eukaryota, Metazoa, Chordata, Mammalia, Rodentia, Spalacidae.
ACUGAGGUCUAUCCCGAUGGGGCUUUUCCAGUAGCCACACAUCGUUGGAAACGCCUCAUACAGUAACACUUGUGGUUUGCUUGAUGCACAGGACUGUUUAGACCCGUGGGAAGGAACUACAAGACAGUU